GUUCCACAGGGAUGCUGGCUCAUGUUGACUCUACAAGGUGUUGAAAGCGUUCCACAGGGAUGCUGGUCCAUGUUGACUCUACAAGGUGUCGAAAGCGUUCCACAGGGAUGCUGGCCCCAUGUUGACUCUACAAGGUGUCGAAAGCGUUCCACAGGGAUGCUGGCCCCAUGUUGACUCUACAAGGUGUCUAAAGCGUUCCACAGGGAUGCUGGCCCAUGUUGACUCUACAAGGUGUCUAAAGCGUUCCACAGGGAUGCUGGCCCAUGUUGACUCUACAAGGUGUUGAAAGCGUUCCACAGGGAUGCUGGCCCAUGUUGACUCUACAAGGUGUCUAAAGCGUUCCACAGGGAUGCUGGCCCAUGUUGACUCUACAAGGUGUCUAAAGCGUUCCACAGGGAUGCUGGUCCAUGUUGACUCUACAAGGUGUUGAAAGCGUUCCACAGGGAUGCUGGCCCAUGUUGACUCUACAAGGUGUUGAAAGCGUUCCACAGGGAUGCUGGUCCAUGUUGACUCUACAAGGUGUUGAAAGCGUUCCACAGGGAUGCUGGUCCAUG
Long non-coding RNA from Oncorhynchus keta (chum salmon), 554 nucleotides. RefSeq lists it as uncharacterized. Lineage: Eukaryota; Metazoa; Chordata; Actinopteri; Salmoniformes; Salmonidae. The transcript has 3 exons. The record is from RefSeq and is a predicted model, not a curated record.